CUGAGUUACUACUCUCAACCCUUUGUGAACUCUUACCUAGUGUUGCUUCGGCAGGUUUUCCCUGGGAGGGAAGUAGCCUUCGGGCAAUCUGCCAGAGGCAUUUUUACUCUGAUUUAUUUUGAAUUCUGAGUUUCUUAAAAAGAAA
This 145-nucleotide unclassified non-coding RNA is filed under the name soil metagenome. RNAcentral describes it as "partial internal transcribed spacer 1". The record is from RNAcentral.